UGGAGUAGUCAGUUGGAGGUUGAGGAUGACUUUUUUGGGAAGGAAUGGGAGGAAUUUAUUGUUCUUUUCAAGGAGUUCAUGCCAAAGCAAUGGCAGAAGAACAAAAGGGCUAAAUUUAUCAACCUCGGGCAAGGAAAGAUGAAGGUGGUUGAUUACUACAACACCUUCAUCAAUUGUUCAAAUGGUACAAGGGCUCUCCUGAACAGAAGGUGGAAGGCAUGAGCAAAAGGUGGAGGGCAGUAGCGCAUCACAUAGCUUCCAUGGGAGGUUGUUCCAAACCAGGUCCUUGCCCUCGUCAGAUUCAAAGCUGAUCACAUAUUUUUUGUGGGCUUCCUCGCAAACGCUACGGAUGUGGCUCCUGGGCAAGCUCCUUUCAGCGCCGAUUGCAAAGUUGAGGCUGAGAUGUUCCUGGCUAGCAUCAAUUUCCCCACCAACGCACUAAUCUCAGCCUUUCCACUCCCCAACAUCUUUGGCUUCAGCUUGAAAACUGGUUCACCACAGCUCCAUGACUCAGUUUGUUGCACCAAAGCAUUCAAGUUGGCUUCCAUUCUUCCUUUGCUGAUUGGAAAACUG
This 573-nucleotide long non-coding RNA is filed under the name Linum usitatissimum (flax). RNAcentral describes it as "long non-coding RNA (LUSI_LNC004477)". Lineage: Eukaryota; Viridiplantae; Streptophyta; Magnoliopsida; Malpighiales; Linaceae. The record is from RNAcentral.